This 448-nucleotide long non-coding RNA is filed under the name Zea mays. Its description in RNAcentral is "long non-coding RNA (ZMAY_LNC000543)". Lineage: Eukaryota; Viridiplantae; Streptophyta; Magnoliopsida; Poales; Poaceae. The record is from RNAcentral.
GUGGGAUACCUUAUAUCCCUAAUUUCCCUGCGCACCGCUUCUCCCCACGGCGCACACGCGCAACUUCUCUGCGCGCCGCCAGCCCCACUUCUCCCCACGGCGCGCCGCCAUCCCCGCGCACCUUCCUGCGCGCCGCCAGCCCCGCGCUUCCCUGCGCGCCGCCAGCCCCGCUUCUCCCCACGGCGCGCCGCCAUCCCCGCGCACCUUCCUGCGCGCCGCUAGCCCCGCGCUUCCCUGCGCGCCGCCAGCCGUCAGCCCGCACCUGCGCGCCGCCAGCCGUCAGCCCGCACCUGCGCGCCGCCAGCCCGUCACCGCUUGGAGACCCGCGCAGCCGCGCUUCCUUGCGCACCGCCACUCCAGCCGACAGCCGCGCUUCCGUGGCCGCGUCCACCGCCGCCAGCUCUGUGGUCGCGCCGUCAGCCAACCCAUCUGCCGUCGUGAGGUACUG